RNAcentral lists this ribosomal RNA (274 nucleotides) under uncultured prokaryote. Its description in RNAcentral is "partial 16S ribosomal RNA". The record is from RNAcentral.
CCCUAUGGGGUGCAGCAGAUACCUGAAGGAAUAGAUAUCGUCCCAGUUAUCAAACACGGCGGGGCCGAACCACCGUAGACACUGGUCGGAACGGUUCACACCGGUGGCGAUGGGCUGCGGGGUUGUAGGGACUGCUGUGCCAUAGCCCGGUUCCAGCGGUUGUGGCGAAGGCUGCGGCAAAGGCCCAGGCUUUCUCAAAGGCAAGUCUUUUCUGAACCUCGGGUUCAAAGGCUUCCCCCGAGGGUUCAGGGGAUUUGGCAGUUUGCGGGGGGGC